Non-coding RNA from Acanthosepion pharaonis, 90 nucleotides. Lineage: Eukaryota; Metazoa; Mollusca; Cephalopoda; Sepiida; Sepiidae. The record is from the annotation of a GenBank genome assembly.
ACCGUUUCUCAUCCGAUCACAAAAGUUAAGCAACGUUGAGCCUGGACAGUACCUAGAUGGUCAACCACUUGGGAAUACCAGAUGCUGUAA